RNAcentral lists this transfer RNA (79 nucleotides) under Populus tomentosa. It matches the Rfam family "tRNA". Rfam says of the family: Transfer RNA (tRNA) molecules are approximately 80 nucleotides in length. Their secondary structure includes four short double-helical elements and three loops (D, anti-codon, and T loops). Lineage: Eukaryota; Viridiplantae; Streptophyta; Magnoliopsida; Malpighiales; Salicaceae. The record is from Rfam by way of RNAcentral.
GCGGGGAUAGCUCAGUUGGGAGAGGGAGAGCGUCAGACUGAAGAUCUGAAGGUCGCGUGUUCGAUCCACGCUCACCGCA